CCUGGCUCGUUCGAGCGCUGGCGGCGCGCCUAACACAUGCAAGUCGAAUGAGCGAGAGAGAGCUUGCUUUCUCGAGCGAGUGGCGAACGGGUGAGUAACGCGUGAGGAACCUGCCUCAAAGAGGGGGACAACAGUUGGAAACGACUGCUAAUACCGCAUAAGCCCACGGCUCGGCAUCGAGCAGAGGGAAAAGGAGCAAUCCGCUUUGAGAUGGCCUCGCGUCCGAUUAGCUAGUUGGUGAGGUAAUGGCCCACCAAGGCGACGAUCGGUAGCCGGACUGAGAGGUUGAACGGCCACAUUAGGACUGAGACACGGCCCAGACUCCUACGGGAGGCAGCAGUGGGGGAUAUUGCACAAUGGGGGAAACCCUGAUGCAGCGACGCCGCGUGGAGGAAGAAGGUCUUCGGAUUGUAAACUCCUGUUGUUGAGGAAGAUAAUGACGGUACUCAACAAGGAAGUGACGGCUAACUACGUGCCAGCAGCCGCGGUAAAACGUAGGUCACAAGCGUUGUCCGGAAUUACUGGGUGUAAAGGGAGCGCAGGCGGGAAGACAAGUUGGAAGUGAAAUCCAUGGGCUCAACCCAUGAACUGCUUUCAAAACUGUUUUUCUUGAGUAGUGCAGAGGUAGGCGGAAUUCCCGGUGUAGCGGUGGAAUGCGUAGAUAUCGGGAGGAACACCAGUGGCGAAGGCGGCCUACUGGGCACCAACUGACGCUGAGGCUCGAAAGUGUGGGUAGCAAACAGGAUUAGAUACCCUGGUAGUCCACACUGUAAACGAUGAUUACUAGGUGUUGGAGGAUUGACCCCUUCAGUGCCGCAGUUAACACAAUAAGUAAUCCACCUGGGGAGUACGACCGCAAGGUUGAAACUCAAAGGAAUUGACGGGGGCCCGCACAAGCAGUGGAGUAUGUGGUUUAAUUCGACGCAACGCGAAGAACCUUACCAAGUCUUGACAUCCUGCGACGCACAUAGAAAUAUGUGUUUCCUUCGGGACGCAGAGACAGGUGGUGCAUGGUUGUCGUCAGCUCGUGUCGUGAGAUGUUGGGUUAAGUCCCGCAACGAGCGCAACCCUUAUGGUCAGUUACUACGCAAGAGGACUCUGGCCAGACUGCCGUUGACAAAACGGAGGAAGGUGGGGAUGACGUCAAAUCAUCAUGCCCUUUAUGACUUGGGCUACACACGUACUACAAUGGCGUUAAACAAAGAGAAGCAAGACCGCGAGGUGGAGCAAAACUCAGAAACAACGUCCCAGUUCGGACUGCAGGCUGCAACUCGCCUGCACGAAGUCGGAAUUGCUAGUAAUCGCAGAUCAGCAUGCUGCGGUGAAUACGUUCCCGGGCCUUGUACACACCG
This 1352-nucleotide ribosomal RNA is filed under the name uncultured bacterium. RNAcentral describes it as "bacterial SSU rRNA". It matches the Rfam family "Bacterial small subunit ribosomal RNA", at positions 18 to 1392 of the family's 1533-position model. The record is from RNAcentral.